Molecule: long non-coding RNA, 2314 nt
Organism: Choloepus didactylus (southern two-toed sloth)
Lineage: Eukaryota; Metazoa; Chordata; Mammalia; Pilosa; Megalonychidae
Exons: 3
Source: RefSeq, a predicted model, not a curated record
CACAUCAUACACCAACCUGGAUUGGAGGAAUGCUUGAGAUUGCAGCAUAAAAUCUAAAAUUCCAGGAGCACAUGGAGACUUUGUGUUGGGAUGUUGGGGGAUCCUGCCUUACACCAGAUGCUAUGUUAUGGUCUGUGGAGAUGGGAAGGCAUUGGGGCGUGUUCCUGACCUUCCGGCUGUUCUCCUGACCACCUUUGGCCGGGUGCUUCUCAAAGUGUGAGUCACAGUUCAACAGCCACAGCAUCACCUGGGAUGGUGUGAGAAAUGCAGAACUGUAGGUCCCACCCCAGACCGGUGGGAUCCCAGGUGAUCCAUAUGCACUCUUGAGUCUGAGAAUCCCUGCUGUAGACCCCUUUCCCAUGCAGUUAUUUCUCUCUUCUGCUUUACAGUCAUUGGUUGCACCCAAAACAUGGCCUGGACACAAGAGGUGGCAACUUGGAGAUGUCCAAGUGUCUCCUCUCAGGGCUUGUGACACAACCUCUCUGCAGAAGUUUUGGCUGGGCAGGGCAGAGGGCAGAGUUGCUGAUCAGCAGAGGGAGAGGUCUCGAGGGUGCCUAACUGACCUGGGGAAAGACUGAGGCCAAUUAGAAACGUCUAAGAAACGCCUCACAGUCCCUGUUUGGAACGUGCUUUAUCUACGAGUUAGGAAGACCGUCCAAGAAAAAUAUGCUUACGUGUACAUUGUACUUUUCCUGUUUUUAUUCCAAGGAAGGGCUUGGUUCCCAGAUUUCCUCUCUGGGGUAAUUCUUGCAACAUCAUUCUCUACUCUCUUCACCUUUAAACUACAUUCCAGGUAUGGCAGAAACUACUCGAAUCAUCAUCCUUUAAGACCCAGAGUCUAGGAAGGGAAGGGGAACUUGGGGGUACUCAAAGGGUGUCCUGUUUGUUCUCUGGCCAUGGCAGUUUAUGUGCCUCCAGCCUCUCUGUAGUUUGGGGGAAAGGGGAAGGAGACACGGAGCUCCGGCUACUGCUGGCCUCCCCCUCCUACCCCACCCCAGCAGACCUUCUUUCCACCCAAAUCAUAUUUUUCCAGGACCUCUGGAGGACCCACCACCUCUAUGGAUCUCUGUUCUGGCCUCUGCUGCUCCAGUCUCUACGUAUUUCUUCCCUCCGUGCAGCCACCAUGACUUUCAUAGAAUACGCAUCUUACUUUUCCAGUUCUUCAACAACUCCUUAUCACCUUCAGGAGAAAACCCCCUGGAGGGCUUUAUAUGUCCCUCAGGAUGGGGCUUCUUGCUUUUUCUUCAGCCUAAUCUCAUUUCACCCCUCUGCAACAAUGUGUAUCGUUAUCACACUGAACAACUGGAGCCUCCUCAGAUAAACCAAAUUCUCUCCUUCUUUUGCACAUGCCACUUCUUUUACCUGUCCUACCCUUACUUUUAUCCUGAAAUCACACCUCACCUCCUUUAAGAUUCAAUUUAGGAACAAACCGCUUUCUCUGAAAAGCCUUCCCUGCUAUGCCUCCCUCUCUUAAAAUCCAUGUUUUGUGUUUCUUUUCUGAGCUUAAGUGGCAAACCUAGCAGAACGUUUAUUGCAUUCUGUAUUUAAAACAUUUUGAAGCCUUUAUGACUUUGUUAUACAAAUAUGUGUUCAUUAUAAAAGCAUUACAAUAUACUUACACAAAAAAGGGAAAAUGAUGACCUGUUAUCAAUUUAUAUUAGUCGGUGUUCAACCAGGAAAAGAGAAGCCACUCUGUGCUCUCCCAGUAUGAAGAGAAGCAAAAUGAGGAAUUAGAGGCUUACAACCCUGCUGGAUGGGAUGUGGCAGCAAAGAUCAGGGAAGCUGCCCUGAGGAUCUCAGCCUGGAACACCCAAGGGGCUGUCAAAGACCUUGCCUGGAAGCCACUCUACUGCAGAUCUCGAGAACUUCUGGAAAAUUCCCACCCAGGAAACACACCCAGAUGCUGUUUGGGACUUCUCAUGUCCGAUGUAUCUGCCUACCUCUUGAGAAUAAUGGCCUUUCCUCUUUUUCAACUUCCAAAUCUCAUGAAAGUGUCUCUCCCUGGCACUCAAAAUACAUUGGGAAGUGAAUUUUGUUGUACUGCCUUUCAUGUAUGUGUGUGUGUGUGUGUGUGUGUGUGUGUAAGUGAAUGAUAUGCAAAUACACCUCUCUCUAAUGUGCUCACUCUAUCUGUGUGCCUAUAUGCAUUUCUCCCCUCUGGCUCCUUGAAGGUUUAAUGAGCUUGCUUCUCUACUUUUUAAACAAGGAUUCCCAGCACUGGUUUGAUGACACCCUGGAGUGUCUUCAUUUAUCUCAGGGGGUGCCUUGAAAUUCACAAAACAAGAUUAAUUUAAAUUCAUUUUCAUUUAAAAAA